Molecule: ribosomal RNA, 433 nt
Filed under: uncultured bacterium
Lineage: Bacteria
Description: partial 16S ribosomal RNA
Rfam family: Bacterial small subunit ribosomal RNA
Source: RNAcentral
AGCGAACGCUGGCGGCAGGCUUAACACAUGCAAGUCGAACGGGCACUUCGGUGCUAGUGGCAGACGGGUGAGUAACACGUGGGAACGUACCUUUCGGUUCGGAAUAAUCCAGGGAAACUUGGACUAAUACCGGAUACGCCCUUCGGGGGAAAGAUUCAUCGCCGAUAGAUCGGCCCGCGUCUGAUUAGCUAGUUGGUGAGGUAAUGGCUCAUCAAGGCGACGAUCAGUAGCUGGUCUGAGAGGAUGAUCAGCCACAUUGGGACUGAGACACGGCCCAAACUCCUACGGGAGGCAGCAGUGGGGAAUAUUGGACAAUGGGCGCAAGCCUGAUCCAGCCAUGCCGCGUGAGUGAUGAAGGCCUUAGGGUUGUAAAGCUCUUUUGUCCGGGAAGAUAAUGACUGUACCGGAAGAAUAAGCCCCGGCUAACUUCGUG